AUGGUGUGCUGGAACGUUAGGGGACUAAAUAGCCCUGCGAAACGGAAAGCACUUAGGGAGUUUGUAGAUUCAAUUCAUACUGCCAUCAUGUGUAUCUUAGAGACUAAGUUGGAGGUGGUCGAUCAGUUUGUAAUAAUGCAACGCCUUGGUCCGGCGUAUGAUGGUUUCUUUUAUCUCCCGGCCACUAACACCCGUGGAGGUAUUUUCGUGGCG
This 213-nucleotide ribosomal RNA is filed under the name Triticum aestivum (bread wheat). Its description in RNAcentral is "partial small subunit ribosomal RNA". The record is from RNAcentral. Lineage: Eukaryota; Viridiplantae; Streptophyta; Magnoliopsida; Poales; Poaceae.